ACUCCCAAAGUGAUUAACGCGAUCAAAAGAUCUACGAAGAACGAAACUAACAAUGCCAUAAUAUUACAACUCGAUCUCAGGAGUUCCUACCAAACAGUGACCGAGAAUCUCGGCAUAUGCGUUUAUAUAAUCAUCUCACAAUCAUCUACUCGAAUCAAAUGAAGACUGGUGUCAUCCAUACUCAAGUAUCGUGGCUUAUCAGUUUAUUAAUGGUAAAAUGUAAGAGCAUGUCAGUUCAUUAAGGGAGAUAGAAAAUUCAAUAAACAUUUAGACUUAAUUUUUAUAUUGAAUCACGUACUAUCGAGGAAUGACGAAGCUUUUAUAUUAUAAACAAAUUAACUGUAUCAUUUAUCUGACGUUUUAAAUGGACUGCGAAGUGACUCUUAGGAA
Molecule: long non-coding RNA, 390 nt
Organism: Ceratina calcarata
Lineage: Eukaryota; Metazoa; Arthropoda; Insecta; Hymenoptera; Apidae
Exons: 2
Source: RefSeq, a predicted model, not a curated record